GCCCGGGUAGCUCAGUGGUAGAGCAGUGGACUGAAAAUCCUCGUGUCGGUGGUUCGACUCCGCCCCCGGGCACCA
Molecule: transfer RNA, 75 nt
Filed under: Alphaproteobacteria bacterium HGW-Alphaproteobacteria-2
Lineage: Bacteria; Pseudomonadati; Pseudomonadota; Alphaproteobacteria
Description: tRNA-Phe
Rfam family: tRNA
About the family: Transfer RNA (tRNA) molecules are approximately 80 nucleotides in length. Their secondary structure includes four short double-helical elements and three loops (D, anti-codon, and T loops).
Source: RNAcentral